RNAcentral lists this signal recognition particle RNA (80 nucleotides) under Bacilli bacterium. RNAcentral's name for it is "signal recognition particle sRNA small type". It matches the Rfam family "Bacterial small signal recognition particle RNA". From Rfam's summary of the family: The signal recognition particle (SRP) is a universally conserved ribonucleoprotein involved in the co-translational targeting of proteins to membranes. Archaeal SRP consists of a 7S RNA and homologues of the eukaryotic SRP19 and SRP54 proteins. Lineage: Bacteria; Bacillati; Bacillota; Bacilli. The record is from RNAcentral.
UUUGUGCAACGAAUAUGUUAUAACCUGGUCAGAGUUGGAAGACAGCAGCCAUAUUAACCUCUAUACGUGUGCACUUUUUU